GUACGGGAGGCAGCAGUGGGGAAUAUUGCACAAUGGGCGCAAGCCUGAUGCAGCCAUGCCGCGUGUAUGAAGAAGGCCUUCGGGUUGUAAAGUACUUUCAGUCGUGAGGAAGGUGUUAAGGUUAAUAACCUUAGCAAUUGACGUUAGCGACAGAAGAAGCACCGGCUAACUCCGUGCCAGCAGCCGCGGUAAUACGGAGGGUGCGAGCGUUAAUCGGAAUUACUGGGCGUAAAGGGCACGCAGGCGGUUAAUUAAGUUGGAUGUGAAAUCCCCGGGCUUAACCUGGGAAUGGCAUUCAAGACUGGUUAGCUAGAGUCUUGUAGAGGGGGUAGAAUUCCAUGUGUAGCGGUGAAAUGCGUAGAGAUGUGGAGGAAUACCGGUGGCGAAGGCGGCCCCUGGACAAAGACUGACGCUCAUGUGCGAAAGCGUGGGGAGCAAACAGGGAUUAGAUACC
RNAcentral lists this ribosomal RNA (454 nucleotides) under uncultured bacterium. RNAcentral describes it as "bacterial SSU rRNA". It matches the Rfam family "Bacterial small subunit ribosomal RNA", at positions 339 to 786 of the family's 1533-position model. The record is from RNAcentral.